CCGUCCGGCAUCCCAGGCGGGGCGCCGCGGGACCUCCCUCGUGUCUGUGGUGGUGAGAUCCCAUGGCCGUGUUUUCCUGGUGGCCCAGCC
Homo sapiens (human) is the source of this 90-nucleotide microRNA precursor. It matches the Rfam family "mir-663 microRNA precursor family". The record is from Rfam. NCBI's taxonomy places the organism in Eukaryota, Metazoa, Chordata, Mammalia, Primates, Hominidae.